UACGUAGGUGGCAAGCGUUGUCCGGAUUUACUGGGCGUAAAGAGCGCGCAGGCGGUUGAAUCAGUCGAAUGUGAAAGCCCCGGGCUCAACCUGGGAAUGGCGAUGGAUACUGGCUCGCUAGAGUGCGGUAGAGGAGAGUGGAAUUCCCGGUGUAGCAGUGAAAUGCGUAGAGAUCGGGAGGAACAUCAGUUGCGAAGGCGGCUCUCUGGACCAGCACUGACACUGAGGCACGAAAGCGUGGGGAGCAAACAGG
This 253-nucleotide ribosomal RNA is filed under the name uncultured bacterium. Its description in RNAcentral is "partial 16S ribosomal RNA". It matches the Rfam family "Bacterial small subunit ribosomal RNA", at positions 524 to 776 of the family's 1533-position model. The record is from RNAcentral.